CAAGCACUUUGAAAAGAGGGUGAAAAGAACCUGAAACCGUUACGGCAGAAGCGUAUUGCUGUCGAAGUGCCAAGUAUGCGUUGUUCAAUAAAAAAUCCUUUUAUGUAUUCAACGUUAUAUUUUCCGCGCAUGUAUUGUAAGUGAUGGAUUUUGCAUUACUUGCGGUAGAGGUAUCCCUCUUUACGAGGUGAAGAUGCGCGGGUCUAGACGCGAUGCGACCCGUCUUGAAACACGGACCAAGGAGUGUAGCACAUUUGCGAGUCAAAGGGUUUUGAAACCUGAGGGCGAAGUGAAAGCGAAAAAUAGAAAAUAUGCUAUUUGAGGCGGCAUACGAUCGUUGAUUGUACGUCCGACCUGGAGCAAAUGUGGUACGACCCGAAAGAUGGUGAACUAUGCCGGGGUAGGGCGAAGCCAGAGGAAACUCUGGUGGAGGCUCGUAGCGGUGCUGACGUGCAAAUCGCUCGUCUAACCUGGGUAUAGGGGCGAAAGACUAAUCGAACCAUCUAGUAGCUGGUUCCCUCCGAAGUU
Molecule: ribosomal RNA, 528 nt
Filed under: Halurus equisetifolius
Lineage: Eukaryota; Rhodophyta; Florideophyceae; Ceramiales; Wrangeliaceae
Description: eukaryotic LSU rRNA
Rfam family: Eukaryotic large subunit ribosomal RNA
Source: RNAcentral